UACGUAGGGUGCGAGCGUUGUCCGGAAUUAUUGGGCGUAAAGAGCUCGUAGGCGGUCUGUCGCGUCGGAUGUGAAAACACGGGGCUCAACCCCGUGCCUGCAUUCGAUACGGGCAGACUAGAGUUCGGUAGGGGAGACUGGAAUUCCUGGUGUAGCGGUGGAAUGCGCAGAUAUCAGGAAGAACACCAACGGCGAAGGCAGCUCGCUGGGACGGUACUGACGCUGAGACGCGAAAGCGUGGGGAGCGAACAGG
RNAcentral lists this ribosomal RNA (253 nucleotides) under uncultured bacterium. Its description in RNAcentral is "partial 16S ribosomal RNA". It matches the Rfam family "Bacterial small subunit ribosomal RNA", at positions 524 to 776 of the family's 1533-position model. The record is from RNAcentral.